AGUGAACGCUGGCGGUAGGCCUAACACAUGCAAGUCGAACGGCAGCACAGGAGAGCUUGCUCUCUGGGUGGCGAGUGGCGGACGGGUGAGGAAUACAUCGGAAUCUACUUUUUCGUGGGGGAUAACGUAGGGAAACUUACGCUAAUACCGCAUACGACCUACGGGUGAAAGCAGGGGAUCUUCGGACCUUGCGCGAUUGAAUGAGCCGAUGUCGGAUUAGCUAGUUGGCGGGGUAAAGGCCCACCAAGGCGACGAUCCGUAGCUGGUCUGAGAGGAUGAUCGGCCACAGUGGAACUGAGACACGGUCCAGACUCCUACGGGAGGCAGCAGUGGGGAAUAUUGGACAAUGGGCGCAAGCCUGAUCCAGCCAUACCGCGUGGGUGAAGAAGGCCUUCGGGUUGUAAAGCCCUUUUGUUGGGAAAGAAAUCCAGCUGGUUAAUACCCGGUUGGGAUGACGGUACCCAAAGAAUAAGCACCGGCCAACUUCGUGCCAGCCGCCGCAGUAA
RNAcentral lists this ribosomal RNA (506 nucleotides) under uncultured bacterium. RNAcentral's name for it is "partial 16S ribosomal RNA". It matches the Rfam family "Bacterial small subunit ribosomal RNA", at positions 29 to 523 of the family's 1533-position model. The record is from RNAcentral.